AAGUGGACGAGAUUGAAGUGUACGGCAGCGAGGCCCAGUCGGGCACACAGCUGGCCACCUACUCCUUUGAGGUGAGAUUGAGGCAGCAGGGCCCCCAUCCCAGCCAAUGCCCCCCAGCAAGCCCCUGACUGUUGCUGUGCCACAGGUGUGUGACAGCAUCCUUAACAUCGGACCCUGCGCCAAUGCCGCCAUGGGCGAGCCUGCCUUCCUCUCUGAAGAGUUUCAGAACAGCCCUGAGCCGGACCUGGAGAUUGUGGUUUGCUCCGGCCACGGGAAGAACGGGGCUUUGUCGGUGCUGCAGAAGAGCAUCCGGCCCCAGGUGGUGACAACCUUUGAGCUUCCCGGCUGCUAUGACAUGUGGACAGUCAUCGCCCCACUGCGUAAGGAGGAGGAGGACAAUCCCAAGGGGGAGGGCACAGAGCAGGAACCCAGCACCCCUGAAGCAGACGACGACGGCCGCAGACACGGAUUCCUGAUUCUGAGCCGGGAAGACUCCACCAUGGU
This 504-nucleotide small RNA is filed under the name Pongo abelii (Sumatran orangutan). Its description in RNAcentral is "retained intron". Lineage: Eukaryota; Metazoa; Chordata; Mammalia; Primates; Hominidae. The record is from RNAcentral.